Molecule: long non-coding RNA, 334 nt
Organism: Heterocephalus glaber (naked mole-rat)
Lineage: Eukaryota; Metazoa; Chordata; Mammalia; Rodentia; Bathyergidae
Source: Ensembl
UGACCACAGUGGAUGACAUCACAAUGGGCUGUGCGCUAGGAAGUCCAGGCCAUCUUUGGGGUCACAGUAUUCUAAGAAAUCGAACAGUGUGCCACCCUCCCCAGUGUGGGUACAGACUCAGGUGUAGACAGCUUUCAGGCACUGAUUUCAUACUCCCAAUAGGGCAGAGAAGGUGAGCUGUGCGGGUGCCAGAAGCACUUCCCCCACCGUGGAAAUGAGAAGACACGUAAACAAGCCACAGAAACAGACUUCCAGAUCACCCACAGCAACCCCAAAGGGAAAUGAGAUGGAACAAUCUGAUACUCAACCACCUGGACUCCCUGAACUGGCAGCA